Molecule: long non-coding RNA, 902 nt
Filed under: Mus spicilegus (steppe mouse)
Lineage: Eukaryota; Metazoa; Chordata; Mammalia; Rodentia; Muridae
Description: lncRNA (ENSMSIG00000006312.1)
Source: RNAcentral
UCAGAAGGAAUACAUUUCUCUUCUAUACUAGAGAUUGUUUCUUAUCCAGCUUUAACUUCUGUUUUUAGUUUUCCUCAAUAUACCAGCUUGCUUCGGCUGAUUUUAUGGAAUGAUGACCAAACACAGCAUGGAAAGAAAUGGUUUAUGUCAGUUUAUUGUGCAUCAUGAGAAGAAACCAAGAUUCCAAACCAUUACAGGAAUGGACAUUGGCGAUUCAACAUCACCACUGAGUAAGAAACAUUGAAGUAGAAUCUGCUACAUGAUUGGAUGGAUGAAAAUGGAGUAAAGAAUUUUCAACUUCAGCUGUAGUAUAAUUAAUAUCCUAGAUGUGGCAUAUUCCUCUUUGGUGUUAUCUUCACCAGUUCUCUAUUGUUGUGAAGAGACACCGUGAACAUAACAAGACUUAUAAAAGAAAGCAUAUAGCUGAGGCUUGUUAACAGUUUCAGAGGCUGAGUUUAUCAUCAUGGUAGGCAGCAUGGCAGCAUAGAGGCAGACAUGGUAGCUGAGCAUUCUACAUUCAGAUCUACAGGUCGCAUGAAGAGAGAGACACUGGGCCUGGCUUGGUCUUUUGAAACCUCAAAGUCCACCCCUGAUGCUAUACUUCAAUAAGGCUACAAUGACUCUAACAAGGACGCACCAUAUAAUCCUUCUCAAGUAGUGCCACUGUCUGAUGACUGUGCCAUUUUAUUCAAAUAAUCAUAUGCUUCUCCCCGAGUCCUUAGGUUUGUAGCCAUGAAAUAAUGCAAAGCUGCAUUCAGUUCAACUACAAUUCCAAAUAAUCUGUAGUAAUCUCAGCACUGUUUAAAAGUUCAAAGUCUCUCCUGAGACUCAUAGCAAUCUCUUAAUUAUAACCCUCUGUAAAUCAGAAUAAAAAGUAUAUCACCACUUUGUAAUAUAUAAUA